UAAACAAAAAAAUGAAUACAAUGGGCCUUCAGAACAAAACGAGCCCAUUUCUCAUCUUCCCUAACCUAAAGAUUUGUUGUCACUGUAGCGCACAUGAAAACUAAUCGCAGGAGGAAGAACAGAAAAAAUUUGCAGCAAGAAUACUGAACCAGGAAGAAGAAUAGUUACAAUUAUAUCAAGAAAGAAGACUAGUUAUGGCUAUUUUGAAUGGCAAUAGAGGAAUAAAGUGAAGAUGUGUCACUGUCAUCCAACAUUAAAACUUGAAUUCGCGUUAGAUCUAACGCAGAAGCUCCGAUUUUUGGCUUCAGUCAGACUCGCGUUUUGGCUCUAAACGUAGAUCUACAAAUUCACGUUUGAGUUUGUCCAAACAUCACAGGAAAAGCUGGAAUCGCGUUUGGGGGGGAAAACUCGCGUUUGGAGCGUUUUGACGCGGAACCAAACAGACGCUAUAUAUAUUCUAGUUUAGUUCCUCCAGGAUAAAGCUACAAUCAUGGUGCUUCACAACCCUUUUUCCAAUAUCACCUUAAUGGCCUCCUUUCUCUUCAUCUUGGUGUUAUUCAGAAUAGUUAAAAGAUGGAGGUGUAACAAUUCCACCAUCAAUUUACCACCAGGACCAUGGACACUACCCUUCAUAGGAAACAUACAUCAGGUAAUCAGUAGCUCAUUGCCUCAUCACUGCUUCAAAGAUUUGGCAGAUAAAUAUGGACCCUUAAUGCACCUAAAACUAGGAGAGGUAUCAUACAUAAUAGUUAGUUCACCAGAAAUGGCCAAAGAGAUUAUGAAAACAAAUGACCUUACCUUUUGUGAUAGGCCAAACCUUUUUUUGUCCACAAUACUUAGUUACAAUGCUACUGAUAUUGCCUUCUCUACAUACGGAGAAUAUUGGAGGCAACUACGAAAGUUAUGUGUUAUAGAGCUAUUAAGUGUGAAGCGUGUUCAAUCAUUUAGGUAUGUAAGAGAAGAAGAAGUUUUGAAUCUUGUUAAAUCAAUAUCUGCAAGUGAAGGAUCAGUUGUUAAUCUCACUCAAAAGAUUUUUUCAACGACAUAUGGGAUAACAGCGCGGACAGCUUUUGGUAAAAGGAAUAUACAUCAAGAAGCGUUCAAAUUAGCAAUGGAGGAAGCUUUGAGCCUGUUGGGAGGAGUUUGUAUUGUUGAUUUGUAUCCUUCUAUUAAAAUACUUCGAAGGGUGAGUAGGGCGAAGACCAAACUUGAAAAGGCUCAAAGAGCUCUGGAUAUGAUAUUGCAAGACAUCAUCGAUGAUCAUAAAAGAAGUCGUAGAGAAGAAAGCAAGGAUGAAGAUCUAGUUGAUGUUCUUCUUAAUAUUCAACAAGAAAAUUAUCACUCACAGCAUCCCUUGACCGAUGAUAAUUUGAAAGCAGUCAUCCAGGACUUGUUCACUGGUGGUGGCGAAACAUCGCCAGGGGCUGUAUUAUGGGGAAUGUCUGAGAUGGUAAAAAACCCAAAAGUGAUGGAAGAAGCACAUGCUGAGGUAAGAAGAGUUUUUGAUGGAAAGGGUUUUGUGGACGAGACAGAAUUACACCAAUUGAUAUACUUAAAGUCUGUCAUCAAAGAAACUAUGAGGCUACAUCCUACCCUACCACUGUUAGUUCCAAGAGAAAGUAGAGAGAGAUGCCAAAUCAAUGGAUAUGAGAUCCCAGCAAAGACUAGGGUCAUGGUUAACGCUUGGGCUAUUGGAAGAGAUCCAAAGUAUUGGGUUGAAGCUGAGAGUUUUAAACCUGAAAGGUUUGUAAAUAGCCCUAUUGAUUUCAAAGGCACAAACUUUGAAUAUAUACCAUUUGGUGCGGGAAGGAGGAUCUGUCCUGGCAUUGAAUUUGCCAUAUCCAUCGUUGAACUACCUCUUGCUCAGUUACUUUACCACUUUGAUUGGAAACUUCCCAAUGGAAUGAAGAAUGAAGAACUUGAUAUGACUGAGUCAUUUGGGAUUACUGUAGGAAGAAAACAGGAUCUAUGUUUGAUUCCAAUUACUCGUCGUACUUAAUACAUAUGUUGCCUAAAAAUACAUGUUAACAAGUGUUAAAUUUGCUUAUACUAUUUCAGUAUUUGGCAAUUGGAGAAUAUUUUGCACAGACACAUUGGAGGAACUGUCGUGAUCACACAUUGGAGACACAUUGACAGAUUUCAAGUCUCCGGUAAUUGGAAUAGCUUAUGGAAAGUUAAAGCACCUCCAAAGAUUCAACAAUUCUUGUACAGAAUGUUUACCAACGCGAACCAGACUGCAUUAUUGUCAAGUGAAGUGUUCCAUAAUUUUUCUGAUCAGCUCUGCAGAGACUGUAAAUGACUGGCACAUUUUAUUCGGCCACGGGACAAGCAGAAAUUAUUGAGAGAGGGCGCGGACUGUCACGGAUUCUGCAGAAGCGUCUGCAAAGUUGUUCGAAUGUAAAAGAUGUUCUAAAGAAUGUGUGUAGUAAGGACAAUAGGAUAGGUGUUGGCUGGACAUGUUCCUAUGGUUGUGUCGGUGUUGUGGAAUAAUAGGAAUAAUUGGCUUUGGAGAAGCA
RNA transcript from Trifolium pratense (red clover), 2516 nucleotides. It is a transcript of the gene named cytochrome P450 71D10-like, with no coding region annotated. The record is from RefSeq and is a predicted model, not a curated record. Lineage: Eukaryota; Viridiplantae; Streptophyta; Magnoliopsida; Fabales; Fabaceae. The transcript is spliced from 3 exons.